This 63-nucleotide transfer RNA is filed under the name Cheilomenes sexmaculata. RNAcentral's name for it is "tRNA-Ile". The record is from RNAcentral. Lineage: Eukaryota; Metazoa; Arthropoda; Insecta; Coleoptera; Coccinellidae.
GUUAGGACGCCUGAUGAAAGGGCUAUCUUGAUGUGAUGGAUUAUGUGUACCCCACUCCUAACU